GACGAACGCUGGCGGCGUGCUUAACACAUGCAAGUCGAACGAAGAGCGAUGGAAGCUUGCUUCUAUCAAUCUUAGUGGCGAACGGGUGAGUAACGCGUAAUCAACCUGCCCUUCAGAGGGGGACAACAGUUGGAAACGACUGCUAAUACCGCAUACGAUCUAACCUCGGCAUCGAGGAAAGAUAAAAGGUGGCCUCUAUGGAUAAGCUAUCACUGAAGGAGGGGAAUGCGUCUGAUUAGCUAGUUGGAGGGGUAACGGCCCACCAAGGCGAUGAUCAGUAGCCGGUCUGAGAGGAUGAACGGCCACAUUGGGACUGAGACACGGCCCAGACUCCUACGGGAGGCAGCAGUGGGGAAUCUUCCGCAAUGGACGAAAGUCUGACGGAGCAACGCCGCGUGAGUGAUGACGGCCUUCGGGUUGUAAAGCUCUGUUAAUCGGGACGAAAGGCCUUCUUGCGAAUAGUGAGAAGGAUUGACGGUACCGGAAUAGAAAGCCACGGCUAACUACGUG
Molecule: ribosomal RNA, 510 nt
Filed under: uncultured bacterium
Lineage: Bacteria
Description: partial 16S ribosomal RNA
Rfam family: Bacterial small subunit ribosomal RNA
Source: RNAcentral